Molecule: non-coding RNA, 952 nt
Organism: Styela clava
Lineage: Eukaryota; Metazoa; Chordata; Ascidiacea; Stolidobranchia; Styelidae
Source: RefSeq, a predicted model, not a curated record
UACGCUAAAAUCUUUUAAUUUUUCGGAUAUGUCUUUACGAUUUUUGGAGAGUAGGAUUGAUAAUUUUGAUACAAUAACCAGGCAGAACAUGAAGAUCGUUCGUUCUGUUUUUUGCAAUAUAAGCUCAAUAAACUGAAAAGGACCUCAAUUCACAACUCCGUACUAAAGAGGCUUUGUGUCGCAAUAGUAAAACUGUCGGGUUUGCCGAGAACUUUACCUACCACGUUUGCCGUUUUGUUCGCAAGUAACCUGGACGCCGUGAGGGGAUCGGGAUCUUCAUGAGUGCGUGAUUGCAGAAAUUUAGAUAAAAUAGAACAGUUGUGUUUGGAGAAGCGAUCCAAGUCUUUUGUGUCAGGUUUUAUCAAUUACCCAGUGAGUUGAAGUCGAGUCAUAAUAACUUGAAACAAGGUUUUCAACGUCACCGAAGAAUGCUGCUGGAAAUCAUCACUCAUCGGAUAAGAUGACAAUACAAACGAAGAUUGUGAAAAUUCAAUGAAUUCAAAUUUUUCUCGAAACAGAAGGAGAUACGAGAAGCGAGUGGUUGACGCCACUUUAUAUAGUGACUCUCCAACGAGAUGGCCUACGUUUCAGAACUUGGCAGACGGAAAUGCGGGUAGUGAUUCGGAGAACGCUGUGCCAGGAGUUUCAGAUUAGUCAACAGACUAUACCGCACCAUCUUCAGAAUCACUUUCAAUAAGCAAUGUAAGUGACUUAAAAGAAAAUCAUAUAUACGGAAAAGAAAAGGGCUGUAAAUCAAUUCCAAAAAAAGCUUCUAAAUAAACGUGAACCAGAAAAGAAACGACGAAAAGAAAAAUAAUUGCACGGCUUUGUAUAUCUUGCGAGAAGUUUAUUGUAAAGCUUUAAGACAUCUCUGUAUAAUUCAUAAAGAUGAACCGGCAGUGAGCACAUAAUUUUGUCUCUCCUCAACAACUUAAUCUAGUGGGCAUAUCCA